Molecule: long non-coding RNA, 1280 nt
Organism: Acinonyx jubatus (cheetah)
Lineage: Eukaryota; Metazoa; Chordata; Mammalia; Carnivora; Felidae
Exons: 3
Source: RefSeq, a predicted model, not a curated record
CAGCUACGAUGCUUCACCCAGACCAUUGCACAUCACAUCAGAGAGGAAGACACAUGUGUGAUUCAUUUUCUUAAGCCUCAAGUCUAAGGAUUUACCUAAGGACCCAGGAAUGUCAUGAGGUCCUGUUUCCUCCUUUUACUUAAAAAAGUCACCUUCAUGUGAAAUAACCUGCUCUUUUGCCAAACCGGUCUGUCAGUAUAAGGAAGCCUGGGAAUGCCUUAGCGGACCUGUAGAAAUCAUUGUGCAUCUGUGAAGAAGGUGUCGGAACCACACGGCUCUGAGGGCAUGGGGAGAAAACAUUCUGUGGACCGUCUGGACUCCAAAGGUUGAAGAAAAGUUUCUCAACAGCCUGCAUCUGCUACCAAAGUUUUCAUGUUGCACGAGCCAGUAUUAAACGUCAGUGAAUUACAGCUUUUUGGUGCAUUAACCUUAACUUUAAGACAUUUACCAAAGGAGUUCUAAUCACUGGAGCCCAGGGGAAACAUUAGUAUUAUAAUCUAUACUGCAGCCCAGUAUUGAAAACUUUAUUAGCAUGCGGGAUGAUAUAUCAAGAUCUCUAAAAAAAAUGAAUCAUUUUCGCAAUUUGUCUUUGCAACCAUUAAAACUUUCUAUAAACACAGAUCUAUGCAUCCAAUAAAGAGCAUCCAAUAUGAUGCUUUUUGUAUGCUCAAAUAUUUCAAAAUUUAGGAUAACAGUGGUAGUGGCAAUGAAACUGAUAUCUAUGUUCCUUGUUCUGUCCCCCCUCGGGCAUAGAGAAAUAUCUGUUUUUAGCCACCAGGUUCCAUGCUAGAUGCCAUGUAAAAAAAAGAUUAUGGAUCGGAUCUCAUUGCCUCUCUUCUUCCCUUCCUGCUUCCUUGUCUUCUUUCCUCCCCUCAGGUAGAUGCAGUCAAAAGCGUAUGUAGGUGUGCUUCUGGUUUUUCUAAGCCUUUGUACAAAAUACAUUAUUUUUUUUCUGAAAACCUUUUCAUUGGCAACAAACCCUAAGAAAGUAGUUGACUCCACAGCCCAGAAAUAGUGGUUACAACACCACUUUCUUGUGCAAAAAAUCUUCUUUUCGCGUGUCCGAGUGCUCGAUAUUCUAACGUUAGGGUUUUUAUCCAUUUAGUUUAUUUGUUAAAUAUUUUUUAAUGUUUGUUUAUUGUUGAGAGAGAGAAAGAGAGGACGUGAGCAGGGGAGGGGCAGAGAGAGAGGGAGACACAGAAUCCGAAGCAGGCUCCAGGCUCCGAGCUGUCAGCACAGAGCCCAAUGGGGGGCUUGAACUUGACAACCGCGAGCUCAUG